RNAcentral lists this ribosomal RNA (502 nucleotides) under uncultured bacterium. RNAcentral's name for it is "bacterial SSU rRNA". It matches the Rfam family "Bacterial small subunit ribosomal RNA", at positions 33 to 518 of the family's 1533-position model. The record is from RNAcentral.
GAACGACGUCGGCGGCGGUGCCGUAACAACAUGCAAGUACGAACGGAACGUUACAAGACGGAAGUUUCGAAUGGAAGCUUAUAAGUUAGUGGCGGACGGGUGAGUAACGCGUGAGCAAUCUACCUCUCAGCGGAGGAUAACGCAUCGAAAGGUGUGCUAAUACCGCAUAAUAUAACGGGAUCGCAUGGUUCUGUUAUCAAAGAUUUAUUGCUGAGAGAUGAGCUCGCGUCUGAUUAGAUAGUUGGUGAGGUAACGGCCCACCAAGUCGACGAUCAGUAGCCGGACUGAGAGGUUGAACGGCCACAUUGGGACUGAGACACGGCCCAGACUCCUACGGGAGGCAGCAGUGGGGGAAUAUUGCACAAUGGGGGGAAAAACCCCCUGAUGCAGCAACGCCGCGUGAAGGAUGAAGGUUUUCGGAUUGUAAACUUCUUUUGUACGGGACGAAACAAAUGACGGUACCGUAAGAAUAAGCCACGGCUAACUACGUGCCAGCCGCCGC